GUACAUGUGACCUAAGUGGUUAGAGCGUCCGCCUCGGAUGCUGGAGGUCGUGGAUUCGAAUCCCAGCUGUGUUUUAUA
Molecule: non-coding RNA, 78 nt
Organism: Potamilus streckersoni
Lineage: Eukaryota; Metazoa; Mollusca; Bivalvia; Unionida; Unionidae
Source: the annotation of a GenBank genome assembly